This 493-nucleotide ribosomal RNA is filed under the name uncultured bacterium. RNAcentral's name for it is "partial 16S ribosomal RNA". It matches the Rfam family "Bacterial small subunit ribosomal RNA", at positions 29 to 508 of the family's 1533-position model. The record is from RNAcentral.
AGUGAACGCUGGCGGUAGGCCUAACACAUGCAAGUCGAACGGCAGCACAGUAAGAGCUUGCUCUUACGGGUGGCGAGUGGCGGACGGGUGAGGAAUACAUCGGAAUCUACUUUUUCGUGGGGGAUAACGUAGGGAAACUUACGCUAAUACCGCAUACGACCUACGGGUGAAAGCAGGGGAUCUUCGGACCUUGCGCGAUUGAAUGAGCCGAUGUCGGAUUAGCUAGUUGGCGGGGUAAAGGCCCACCAAGGCGACGAUCCGUAGCUGGUCUGAGAGGAUGAGCAGCCACACUGGAACUGAGACACGGUCCAGACUCCUACGGGAGGCAGCAGUGGGGAAUAUUGGACAAUGGGCGCAAGCCUGAUCCAGCCAUACCGCGUGGGUGAAGAAGGCCUUCGGGUUGUAAAGCCCUUUUGUUGGGAAAGAAAAGCAGCAGGUUAAUACCCCGCUGUUCUGACGGUACCCAAAGAAUAAGCACCGGCUAACUUCGUGC